AGCUCCAAAAGCGUAUAUUAAAGUUGUUGCAGUUAAAAAGCUCGUAGUUGAACCUUGGGCUUGGUUAGCCGGUCCACCUUUUUGGUGUGUACUGGACCUAACCGAGCCUUUCCUUCUGGCUAACCUUCAUCCUUCUGGGUGUUGGCGAACCAGGACUUUUACUUUGAAAAAAUUAGAGUGUUCAAAGCAGGCCUUUGCUCGAAUAUAUUAGCAUGGAAUAAUAGAAUAGGACGUUAUGGUUCUAUUUUGUUGGUUUCUAGGACCAUCGUAAUGAUUAAUAGGGACGGUCGGGGGUAUCAGUAUUCAGUUGUCAGAGGUGAAAUUCUUGGAUUUACUGAAGACUAACUACUGCGAAAGCAUUUACCAAGGACGUUUUCA
RNAcentral lists this ribosomal RNA (378 nucleotides) under uncultured eukaryote. Its description in RNAcentral is "SSU rRNA". It matches the Rfam family "Eukaryotic small subunit ribosomal RNA", at positions 587 to 972 of the family's 1831-position model. The record is from RNAcentral.